Molecule: ribosomal RNA, 807 nt
Filed under: uncultured fungus
Lineage: Eukaryota; Fungi
Description: eukaryotic LSU rRNA
Rfam family: Eukaryotic large subunit ribosomal RNA
Source: RNAcentral
GAACUUAAGCAUAUCAGUAAGCGGAGGAAAAGAAACUAACAAGGAUUCCCUUAGUAACGGCGAGUGAAGCGGGAAAAGCUCAAAUUUUAAAUCUGGCACCCUCGGUGUCCGAAUUGUAUUUGAUAGAGUCUUCUUGUGAGAAGCAUCAUGGCUCAAGUCCUUUGGAAGGAGGCAUCAUAGAGGGUGACAAUCCCGUCUAGGUCAUGCAUGUGGAUCAGUACCAAGGAGGCUCGAAGAGUCGGGUUGUUUGGGAAUGCAGCCCUAAAUGGGAGGUACAUUUCUCCUAAAGCUAAAUACAGGCAAGAGACCGAUAGCGAACAAGUACCGUGAGGGAAAGAUGAAAAGGACUUUGAAAAGAGAGUUAAACAGUACGUGAAAUUGUUAAAAGGGAAACGAUUGAGAUCAGUGAUGUUUCGGUCGUUUCAGGAGACGCCCUAACCCGGUGUCUCUGUAUUACAGCCGGAACGGGUUGACUCUCAUUUUCGUGUCUGGUUAAGGCUUGAGGAAAGGUGGCCUCGCUCUCGGGCGACGGCUUUAUAGUCCUCUUGAGAUACAUACGCGAAGAUGAGCGAAAGGCACGCCCUUUCUCAAGGACCAAAAGUCCAAGUCGACAAAAUGAUCUUAACCGACCCGUCUUGAAACACGGACCAAGGAGUCUAACAACUAUGCGAGUAUUUGAGUGGCAAACUCGAAUGCGCAAAGAAAUUGAAUGGCUGGGAGUGAGGACCGAAUACGUCUUUAUGCACCAGCAGCCGGUUCUCGUCUUAGACUUGGAUUGAGCUAGAGCAUAUCUGUUGGGACCCGAAA